Molecule: RNA transcript, 1025 nt
Organism: Piliocolobus tephrosceles (Ugandan red Colobus)
Lineage: Eukaryota; Metazoa; Chordata; Mammalia; Primates; Cercopithecidae
Gene name: 40S ribosomal protein S4, X isoform-like
Exons: 1
Source: RefSeq, a predicted model, not a curated record
AAGGAUUUAUUAUCAGUUUAAAAAGAGACAAUAAUUGUUCACUCACUGGUUCAAACAAUUCUCCUGCCUCAGCCUCCCGAGUGGGUGGGACUCCAGGUGCCUGCCACCACAGCCAGCUAAUUUCAGGGAUUGAUUUUAAAAGAGAAUGCCCACUCUUUCCUUGCCUAACGCAGCCAUGGCUCGUGGUCCCAAGAAGCAUCUGAAGUGGGUAGCAGCUCCAAAGCAUUGGAUGCUGGAUAAAUUGAGCGGUGUGUUUGCUCCUCGUCCAUCCACCAGUCCCCACAAGUUGAGAGAGUGUCUCCCCCUCAUCAUUUUCCUAAGGAAUAGACUUAAGUAUGCCCUGACAGGAGAUGAAGUAAAAAAGAUUUGCAUGCAGCGGUUCAUUAAGAUCGAUGGCAAGGUCCGAACUGAUAUAACCUACCCUGCUGGAUUCAUGGAUGUCAUCAGCAUUGACAAGACGGGAGAGAAUUUCCAUCUGAUCUGACACCAAGAGUCGCUUUACUAUACGUCGUAUUACACCCGAGGAGGCCAAGUACAAGUUAUGCAGAGUGAGAAAGAUCUUUGUGGGCACAAAAGGAAUCCCUCAUCUGGUGACUCGUGAUACCUGCACCAUCCGCUACCCCGAUCCCCUCAUCAAGGUGAAUGAUACCAUUCAGAUUGAUUUGGAGACUGGCAAGAUUACUGAUUUCGUGAAGUUCGACACUGGUAACCUGUGUAUGGUGACUGGAGGUGCUAACCUGGGAAGAAUUGGUGUGAUCACCAACAGAGAGAGGCACCCUGGAUCUUUUGACGUGGUUCACAUGAAAGAUGCCAAUGGCAACAGCUUUGCCACUCGACUUUCCAACAUUUUUGUUAUUGGCAAGGGCAACAAACCGUGAAUUUCUCUUCCCCGAGGAAAGGGUAUCCGCCUCACCAUUGCUGAAGAGAGAGACAAAAGACUGGCGGCCAAACAGAGCAGUGGGUGAAAUGAGUCCCUGGGUGACAUGUCAGACCUUUGUACAUAAUUAAAAAUAUUGUGGCAGGAA